GGCGCUAUAGCUCAGUUGGUUAGAGCGGUAGAUUCAUAUCCUACAGGUCGGUGGUUCAAAUCCACCUAGCACCACCA
RNAcentral lists this transfer RNA (77 nucleotides) under Campylobacterota bacterium. Its description in RNAcentral is "Epsilonproteobacteria bacterium tRNA-Met". It matches the Rfam family "tRNA". Rfam says of the family: Transfer RNA (tRNA) molecules are approximately 80 nucleotides in length. The record is from RNAcentral. Lineage: Bacteria; Pseudomonadati; Campylobacterota. RNAcentral also lists the same sequence under 1 other name.